RNAcentral lists this ribosomal RNA (491 nucleotides) under uncultured bacterium. RNAcentral describes it as "partial 16S ribosomal RNA". It matches the Rfam family "Bacterial small subunit ribosomal RNA", at positions 28 to 507 of the family's 1533-position model. The record is from RNAcentral.
GAUGAACGCUGUCUACAGGCUUAACACAUGCAAGUCGAGGGGAAACGACGGGGAAGCUUGCUUCCCCGGGCGUCGACCGGCGCACGGGUGAGUAACGCGUAUCCAACCUGCCUCUGACUGAGGGAUAACCCGUCGAAAGUCGGCCUAAUACCUCAUGGCAUCGUCUGCGGGCAUCCAACGACGAUUAAAGAUUUCAUCGGUCAGGGAUGGGGAUGCGUCUGAUUAGCUUGUUGGCGGGGUAACGGCCCACCAAGGCUACGAUCAGUAGGGGUUCUGAGAGGAAGGUCCCCCACAUUGGAACUGAGACACGGUCCAAACUCCUACGGGAGGCAGCAGUGAGGAAUAUUGGUCAAUGGGCGGGAGCCUGAACCAGCCAAGUAGCGUGCAGGAUGACGGCCCUAUGGAUUGUAAACUGCUUUUAUGCGGGGAUAAAGUGAGGGACGUGUCCUUCAUUGCAGGUACCGCAUGAAUAAGGACCGGCUAAUUCCGUG